GCGUGAGUGAAGAAGGCCUUCGGGUUGUAAAGCUCUUUCGACGGGGACGAUGAUGACGGUACCCGUAUAAGAAGCCCCGGCAAACUUCGUGCCAGCAGCCGCGGUAAUACGAAGGGGGCUAGCGUUGUUCGGAAUUACUGGGCGUAAAGCGAACGUAGGCGGUGUUCCAUGUCAGAGGUGAAAGCCUGGGGCUCAACUCCAGAAUUGCCUUUGAAACGGGAACGCUUGAGUCCGAGAGAGGAUGGCGGAAUUCCUAGUGUAGAGGUGAAAUUCGU
RNAcentral lists this ribosomal RNA (275 nucleotides) under uncultured bacterium. Its description in RNAcentral is "partial 16S ribosomal RNA". It matches the Rfam family "Bacterial small subunit ribosomal RNA", at positions 399 to 691 of the family's 1533-position model. The record is from RNAcentral.